UCGACGGCAGCAUAGGUGCUUGCACCUGAUGGCGAGUGGCGAACGGGUGAGUAAUGCAUCGGAACGUGCCCAAUCGUGGGGGAUAACGCAGCGAAAGCUGUGCUAAUACCGCAUACGAUCUACGGAUGAAAGCGGGGGACCUUCGGGCCUCGCGCGAUUGGAGCGGCCGAUGUUAGAUUAGGUAGUUGGUGGGGUAAAGGCUCACCAAGCCGACGAUCUAUAGCUGGUCUGAGAGGACGACCAGCCACACUGGAACUGAGACACGGUCCAGACUCCUACGGGAGGCAGCAGUGGGGAAUUUUGGACAAUGGGCGAAAGCCUGAUCCAGCAAUACCGCGUGCAGGAAGAAGGCCUUCGGGUUGUAAACUGCUUUUGUACGGAACGAAAAGGCUCUUUCUAAUAAAGAGGGCUCAUGACGGUACCGUAAGAAUAAGCACCGGCUAACUACGUGCCAGCAGCCGCGGUAAUACGUAGGGUGCAAGCGUUAAUCGGAAUUACUGGGCGUAAAGCGUGCGCAGGCGGUUUUGUAAGACAGGCGUGAAAUCCCCGGGCUC
RNAcentral lists this ribosomal RNA (554 nucleotides) under uncultured bacterium. Its description in RNAcentral is "bacterial SSU rRNA". It matches the Rfam family "Bacterial small subunit ribosomal RNA", at positions 62 to 610 of the family's 1533-position model. The record is from RNAcentral.